Molecule: transfer RNA, 72 nt
Filed under: Camelus bactrianus (Bactrian camel)
Lineage: Eukaryota; Metazoa; Chordata; Mammalia; Artiodactyla; Camelidae
Also listed under: 2 other names
Rfam family: tRNA
About the family: Transfer RNA (tRNA) molecules are approximately 80 nucleotides in length. Their secondary structure includes four short double-helical elements and three loops (D, anti-codon, and T loops).
Source: Rfam by way of RNAcentral
GAGGGUGUACCUUAGCGGUAGAGAGUGUGCUUGGCAUGCACAAGGUCCUGGGUUCAAUCCCUAGUACCUCCA